Equus asinus (donkey) is the source of this 2149-nucleotide long non-coding RNA. The record is from Ensembl. NCBI's taxonomy places the organism in Eukaryota, Metazoa, Chordata, Mammalia, Perissodactyla, Equidae.
CCAGGUUAGGGCAGCAGGGCACUGCCGUUGCAGUCAAACAUUAUCCUAUGGAAUGGGUGCUGUGGAGGGGCAAUUUUGUAAAUGAGGAGGCUAUUGUUCUCAGAGACGGGGCAGAGGGAUCCUGUGACAGAGAUCAAUAGGGAUCACUGAAGAUGUUGCAUCAGUGUCCAGUAACAAGAACAGAGGGAAUUUAAUAGAAAGAACUGUUAGGUCUAAAGUUGCUAACUGGGUAACUGAAGGGUCACAGGAGACCUCUCAGGCCUCAGGAGCAGACGUAGCAACUGCAGGACGCAGCCACCAUUCCUCAGGCUGAGGGAGCAAAGGGAAAGGUAGAAACACAAGGGAAGCCCUGAGCAGCUGAACCUCAGACUUGUGAAGAGGGAGAGCCCGGGCGCCGGGACCCAGACUUCUGAGCAGGGGUGCCAGCCGGCUGUUGACAGUGUCUCCUGGGGGGCGGGCUGGGGAGAGAGAUCCUGCGAGAGCUGGAAAAGCUGCGAACUGGAUUCAGCUGCUGCUUCAGCAGGGCGCUGCCCGCGGCCAGGGUGAGGAACAGUUGUUGGGAUGGUGCUCACAGAAACAGGAAGCCCACAGGAAGCCGCCGGGGAACAAACAGGAAAGAGCGAGCCGGCUCCCUCCUCCACCGGCGGUCUCCUUCCAGCGCCCUGUCGGCAGAGCCUCCCACAGAGGCCACUGCAGAGCGGAAAUGAGCCCGCGGGAUCCCAGCUCCAGCCCCUCAGGGCCAGCGACUUCCUGACGGACCCAGGCGUCCUGUUUCAGGUGUUCUGCUUGGUGCUGUGGACUCCUGGAGGUCAGGGACAGCCGUGAUCUCUCUGUGACCUUCUCAGGGACUGGCAUCCUUCCCGGGCAGAGCAGGCCCUAGUAAGUCUGUGUUAUGCUGAGAUGAGCUGCAUAGCUGGAGCACAGGACAGGCGUGUCCUGGGCCAAUCCGCAGCGCUCCCUGCCCAGCCUUCAGAGUCCCUGUCUAUCUUCCCAGCGGGUAUGAUUCCAGGCUCUCCCUGGGGCACUGCGUGGGGCCAGGGAGCGGGUGUUGAACACCGACUGUGAACAAGGCUCUGCCCAGCCUGGUUGAGGUGCCCCAAUUCCCUUGUCAUCCUGACCCACUUUCUGAGAAAUUCCACAGGAGGGUCCCAGCGCCACCACUGAUAAGCUGUGUGGCUUUGGGAGGGGUAGUGGACUAUUCUGAGCCUCCGUUUCCCCAGAAUGCCCGCUUUGGUCCCUUAAUGUCUUCCCCAAGAGACAAGAAGAGACUCUUGGUCCUCUCCGUCCCAUGUCCAUCUCUCUCCCCCAUCUCCUCCUCCUUAGAGGGGUGAAAAUUUAGCUUCAUAGUUCGGCUUUGAAAGGCGGUCAGUAUUAGUAAGAUGGAGACCAGUUUAGUGCAGAGGAACGUAAAGAUCCAGGCCAACUGGGACUUGCUGGGCAGAGUUCAAGGGGCAGCCGCAGGAUGCAGCAUGGCGCACUCUGUGGAGAGGGGGAGCAGAGGUGGCGCGAAGGCGAGGAAGCAGAGAAGAGAUCCACAAAGAGCCCAGUGCCUCAAAGGGAGGCUAAUUGAGUCCAAGGACUGACGGCGGGCCUGGACCCAUUGGCAUCCUGCCAGCCAAGAAGCACCUGCUUCCUUCAGAAUUUAGCUUUCCUUUGUUGAAUGCAGCUCUCAGGUUCUGGUGGCUGCCAGCAUUCCUUGGCUUGUGGCUCCGUCACUCCAGUCUUCAAGGCUGGCGUCUUCAAAUCUCUCCCCGUGAUCUGUCUUCACCGGACCUUCUCCUGUGCGUGAAGUUCUUCCUGGAGAAAUUGGUUUGAGCGGGAGAAGCAGGUGGGAGAAGGAGAAGCCAAGCAGUGUGAAAUCUGAAGCCCCAGCCUCAGGCUUCUCCCCCAGGGAGCUUGAAAGAGAAAAGUCCCUGAUGGGAUCAAAUCUCACAGAAUUGCCUUGGCUUUUCUUGGUGGGAUAUGUGAGACGGAGCCUAGAAAUCCUGCAGCCAUUUUGCUCCCAGAGGGAAACCAGCCUUAGUGUGAAGCUGAUAUUAUGAAAGAGAGAGCAGAGAUGGGACAAUACGGGAUCCUUGCUGAUGUUGUCACUGAAUCAACCCACUCUGAUCCUGCCUCUGAAAUUUCUGUUUAUCUGAGCUAAUAAAUC